RNAcentral lists this signal recognition particle RNA (311 nucleotides) under Natrialbaceae archaeon AArc-T1-2. RNAcentral describes it as "signal recognition particle sRNA". It matches the Rfam family "Archaeal signal recognition particle RNA". Lineage: Archaea; Methanobacteriati; Methanobacteriota; Halobacteria; Halobacteriales; Natrialbaceae. The record is from RNAcentral.
AACUGGACUAGGUCGGGCAGCUAGGCCCUGCUCACAACCCGCCUUAUGGCCUUUAGCGGGGACCGAAGCCCGCGGGCGUCCGGUCAGACCGGCCGGGGCCCCGGGAGCGAACGUGGAAGCCUCGUCCGUCGGGGACAGCGGUCCACGGUGGCCGUCCGCAGGGACACCCCAUCGUGGUUAACCGGCGACAGCCCAUCAGGCGCGGAAGCGAGCAGUGGACCGUCGGACACCUGUCGCUCGACGGGUCGCGGGGUGGAGAACGCGACCGGGAUUCCCCCGACCGGAACGCCGGGCAAUCGCGGGGUCCACCA